This 399-nucleotide ribosomal RNA is filed under the name Lepiota cristata. RNAcentral's name for it is "SSU rRNA". It matches the Rfam family "Bacterial small subunit ribosomal RNA", at positions 366 to 776 of the family's 1533-position model. The record is from RNAcentral. Lineage: Eukaryota; Fungi; Basidiomycota; Agaricomycetes; Agaricales; Agaricaceae.
UGUCAAUGCUCGUAAGAGUGAACUAGCUAACUGAAAUCUUAAAAUCAUUUAAUAAUGGUAUUUAAGAUAACGUAAGGGAAAAAAUUGAUAGUACCUUACUAUAAGUGUUGUCUAACAUUACUGGUGCCAGAAGACUCGGUAACGCCAGAAACGCAAACGUUAGUCGUCCUAAACAGGCGUAAAGGGUAAGUAGGCUGCUUUAACAGUUAUUAUUUAGAAAGCUCUUUAAAAUAUUUAAAGCAAUUAAUAAUGAAUUAAAGCUAGAAUCAAAUAGAGGAUAAUGAAUAUAAUGAAUUGAGUAAGAAUGAUAUCUUUAGAUACUUUUCAGAAUACUUAAGGUGAAAACUUUUAUCUACUAUUGAUUGACGCUGAGGGGCGAUGGUGAGAAUAGAAAACAGG